This 400-nucleotide ribosomal RNA is filed under the name uncultured bacterium. Its description in RNAcentral is "bacterial SSU rRNA". It matches the Rfam family "Bacterial small subunit ribosomal RNA", at positions 30 to 432 of the family's 1533-position model. The record is from RNAcentral.
AUUGAACGCUGGCGGCAUGCCUUACACAUGCAAGUCGAACAGCAGCACGGGAGCAAUCCUGGUGGCGAGUGGCGAACGGGUGAGUAAUAUAUCGGAACGUGCCCAGUCGUGGGGAUAACGUAGCGAAAGCUACGCUAAUACCGCAUACGAUCUAUGGAUGAAAGCGGGGGAUCGCAAGACCUCGCGCGAUUGGAGCGGCCGAUAUCAGAUUAGGUAGUUGGUGAGGUAAAGGCUCACCAAGCCGACGAUCUGUAGCUGGUCUGAGAGGACGACCAGCCACACUGGGACUGAGACACGGCCCAGACUCCUACGGGAGGCAGCAGUGGGGGAAUUUUGGACAAUGGCGCAAGCCUGAUCCAGCAAUGCCGCGUGCAGGAUGAAGGCCUCGGUUGUAACGUAG